UAGGGAAUCUUCGGCAAUGGGGGGAACCCUGACCGAGCAACGCCGCGUGAGUGAAGAAGGUUUUCGGAUCGUAAAGCUCUUUUGUUAAGGAAGAACGAGUGUGAGAAUGGAAAGUUCAUGCCGUCACUGUACUUAACCAGAAAGGGACGGCUAACUACGUGCCAGCAGCCGCGGUAAUACGUAGGUCCCGAGCGUUGUCCGGAUUUAUUGGGCGUAAAGCGAGCGCAGGCGGUUAGAUAAGUCUGAAGUUAAAGGAAGUGGCUCAACCAUUGUAGGCUUUGGAAACUGUUUGACAUUGAGGAAGAAGGGGAAGGUGGAAUUCCAUGUGUAGCGGUAAAAUGCGUCGAUAUGUGGAGGAACAACAGUGGCGAAAGCGGCUAACUGGUCUGUAACAGACGCUGAGGCUCGAAAGCGUGGGGAGCGAACAGG
This 429-nucleotide ribosomal RNA is filed under the name Bacteroidota bacterium. RNAcentral's name for it is "Bacteroidetes bacterium partial 16S ribosomal RNA". It matches the Rfam family "Bacterial small subunit ribosomal RNA", at positions 355 to 776 of the family's 1533-position model. Lineage: Bacteria; Pseudomonadati; Bacteroidota. The record is from RNAcentral.